This is a long non-coding RNA of Sparus aurata (gilthead seabream), 901 nucleotides long. NCBI's taxonomy places the organism in Eukaryota, Metazoa, Chordata, Actinopteri, Spariformes, Sparidae. The record is from Ensembl.
CUUUUAGCAGAAAACAAGACAAUGGCCAAGGUGAAGGAUUCACACUCUGAAAUGGCCCAAGCUCGCCAGAGUGAUGGCAUCAAUGUAAUCUUUGAUCAGGAGAGCUCUUCCUCCUCCUCCCGUUCCCACUCCCGCUCUAGAAGCCCCGGUGUCAGCAGCCGCUCCUCUGGUUCCGGUCGCCACAGAGGACGUGGUAGCUACAGGAGACGUUACAGGUCUUCAUCAUCUUCGUGCAGCAGGUCCUCCUCUCACUCCAGGUCCCGCUCUCACCCCCGGUGCCACAGACGGUCCUCCCGCUGUCGCUGUGACAACCAUCACAGAUAUGGUCGUGGCCAGUACAGAGCCCACUCCCGCUCUUUGAGCCGGUCAGCCUCACCAGACAGAUACUCAAGUCACAGACAGUACAGGUCACGCUCCAGGUCCAGUCGCCAGACCAGGCACGGGAGAGAUGUGAGCAGUUUAAGAUACAGAUCGUCCCGUUCUUCAUCCAGAGCCAACAGGAGCCGCUCAAAGUCCAGAGCCUCAACACACUCUGUCAGUUUGAGUUUAGAUGAUAAAAUGGAAUUCCUCAACGCUGCAAAGGUCAAGGCUGUGAAGAUCCCAGAAAAGGAGAAGCUGGAACUCCUGGAGAGUGUGAAACCGAUCCUGUCAGAGCAGUCAGAGGAGUCCAGACAGAGUUCACCAGAUACAUGGGUGAGACAUGACGCUGAUGAAAGGACUCCAUCAAAGAUAACAUGACAGUGGUCUUCUUCACUCAUCGGCACCUGGGAUUAAAGGGCUGUCAUGUGACUUGGGUGACGACAAUAUGUGUAUGCGUUGAAGUUUAAUUGACAACUCUUGUAAUAUUGACAAUGUUUAGUUUAUCAACCAGUAUUGCAAGUAAAACCACACAUAUGUAGAU